Molecule: ribosomal RNA, 492 nt
Filed under: uncultured bacterium
Lineage: Bacteria
Description: partial 16S ribosomal RNA
Rfam family: Bacterial small subunit ribosomal RNA
Source: RNAcentral
AGUGAACGCUGGCGGUAGGCCUAACACAUGCAAGUCGAACGGCAGCACAGUAAGAGCUUGCUCUUACGGGUGGCGAGUGGCGGACGGGUGAGGAAUACAUCGGAAUCUACUUUUUCGGGGGGGAUAACGUAGGGAAACUUACGCUAAUACCGCAUACGACCUACGGGUGAAAGCAGGGGAUCUUCGGACCUUGCGCGAUUGAAUGAGCCGAUGUCGGAUUAGCUAGUUGGCGGGGUAAAGGCCCACCAAGGCGACGAUCCGUAGCUGGUCUGAGAGGAGGAUCGGCCACACUGGAACUGGGACACGGUCCAGACUCCUACGGGAGGCAGCAGUCGGGAAUAUUGGGCAAUGGGCGCAAGCCUGAUCCAGCCAUACCGCGUGGGUGAAGAAGGCCUUCGGGUUGUAAAGCCCUUUUGUUGGGAAAGAAAAGCAGCAGGUUAAUACCCCGCUGUUCUGACGGUACCCAAAGAAUAAGCACCGGCUAACUUCGUG